AUUGAACGCUGGCGGAAUGCUUUACACAUGCAAGUCGAACGGCAGCACGGGGCAACCUGGUGGCGAGUGGCGAACGGGUGAGUAAUACAUCGGAACGUGCCCAAUCGUGGGGGAUAACGUAGCGAAAGUUACGCUAAUACCGCAUACGAUCUACGGAUGAAAGCGGGGGAUCGCAAGACCUCGCGCGAAUGGAGCGGCCGAUGUCAGAUUAGGUAGUUGGUGGGGUAAAGGCUCACCAAGCCAACGAUCUGUAGCUGGUCUGAGAGGACGACCAGCCACACUGGAACUGAGACACGGUCCAGACUCCUACGGGAGGCAGCAGUGGGGAAUUUUGGACAAUGGGCGCAAGCCUGAUCCAGCCAUUCCGCGUGCAGGAUGAAGGCCUUCGGGUUGUAAACUGCUUUUGUACGGACGAAACGGUCUGCCCUAAUACGGCGGGCUAAUGACGGUACCGUAAGAAUAAGCACCGGCUAACUACGUGCCAGCAGCCGCGGUAAAUCACG
Molecule: ribosomal RNA, 503 nt
Filed under: uncultured bacterium
Lineage: Bacteria
Description: bacterial SSU rRNA
Rfam family: Bacterial small subunit ribosomal RNA
Source: RNAcentral